UACGGAGGGAGCUAGCGUUGUUCGGAAUUACUGGGCGUAAAGCGCACGUAGGCGGCUUUGUAAGUUAGAGGUGAAAGCCCGGGGCUCAACUCCGGAACUGCCUUUAAGACUGCAUCGCUUGAAUCCAGGAGAGGUGAGUGGAAUUCCGAGUGUAGAGGUGAAAUUCGUAGAUAGUCGGAAGAACACCAGUGGCGAAGGCGGCUCACUGGACUGGUAUUGACGCUGAGGUGCGAAAGCGUGGGGAGCAAACAGG
Molecule: ribosomal RNA, 253 nt
Filed under: uncultured bacterium
Lineage: Bacteria
Description: partial 16S ribosomal RNA
Rfam family: Bacterial small subunit ribosomal RNA
Source: RNAcentral